Meleagris gallopavo (turkey) is the source of this 792-nucleotide non-coding RNA. Lineage: Eukaryota; Metazoa; Chordata; Aves; Galliformes; Phasianidae. The record is from RefSeq and is a predicted model, not a curated record.
CCCAAUUACCCGCGCAGGGCUCUGCGCACCCGCGCACCUGUGCUCGGGGAGGGGCGCGCCCAGACGGCAGUCCUCGACCCCGCACCUGCGGCCGUGAGCGAUACAUGGGGCAGCACCCGGCGCUGGUUCGCUCCAUGCUGCUGUUUGUCUGGAGAAGCCCCUGCCUAUCAAUACAUUCAAGGCAGAACCUGGGAACCUCACAGAGAGCUGUACCUGGCUGCUGCCCCCUGGGCGGGCAAUGAAUGAAUGACUGAAGCAAUGAAUGAAUGAAGCCCCUUCCCGGCUGCUCGCUGAGAUCAACUCUCGUGGGUGUAUACUUCAAAUCCACUUGUCUGCUCAUUUUAUCCCCAUUGAAUGGGGGCAAUUAAUCUGGGUGCUGGAGCAGGAUGGAGCCAGCAGAGGGAAUGCGAGAGCGCUGAUGCAGCUCCAUCGUUAGCCUCAAGGAAUGGCCACUGGGUGACUCCUAUUAUUAUGAUCAUUCCUAAGUAUUGGUGAACCAGGCACAUCAAUGAGAGCGAUGUCUGAACAGCCAUCAGUCUGGUAAUGUUGGGGAUGCAGCUAUCGGAGAGACGUCCCCCCAGCUGGGAGCCCAUCCCUGAGCACAUCUGUCCCAUGCUCAAUGCCAUCAUGGCCCCCCGAGCCAAAUGCCACUACACUGCACCAUCUCACCUCAUGCAGAGCAUCCCUGCCCUCCCCAUGCCGUGGGGCACAGCUGUCUCUUUGAGGCUGAGAGCCCCCAGUAAAGCUCAGCGACCACCAGUGUCGCUAAUUUGGGACCCAGUGGGAACACAU